Molecule: ribosomal RNA, 252 nt
Filed under: uncultured bacterium
Lineage: Bacteria
Description: partial 16S ribosomal RNA
Rfam family: Bacterial small subunit ribosomal RNA
Source: RNAcentral
UACGGUAGGGUGCGAGCGUUGUCCGGAAUACUGGGCGUAAAGCGUGCGCAGGCGGUUAUGUAAGACAGAGGUGAAAUCCCCGGGCUCAACCUGGGAACGGCCUUUGUGACUGCAUAGCUGAGUACGGUAGAGGGGGAUGGGAAUUCCGCGUGAGCAGUGAAAUGCGUAGAUAUGCGGAGGAACACCGAUGGCGAAGGCAAUCCCCUGGACCUGUACUGACGCUCAUGCACGAAAGCGUGGGGAGCAAACAGG